GGUGUUCAUGCCAACCAUGCAAACAGGGAAAAUAACUGAAGUUACUCGCCUGCAUUUGGAGGAAAGCAACACUUCCUAUGAAGACAAUCCUGAAGCAGUGAACCACGUAAGCAGGAAAGCAUUACUGGAAAGAUAUCGUGAGAAGCGGAAAGACAGGUUCAAGAGAAAGAUGGGAAUGCCUUCAUCUGCUAGCUUGGACAUCUAUUUGAACCAUCGAACCAUAAAUCAUACCCAAAGCGAGCUCUCAAGUAGGAGCAACACUUGUUCCCCGCCCGCAAUUAGAUUAUCUGCUGCGCCUGCUCCAAGUGGUUCAAUGGAUAACAUUCUCCAAAUGGAUGCCAAUGCUUCUGG
RNAcentral lists this unclassified non-coding RNA (351 nucleotides) under Hevea brasiliensis (rubber tree). The record is from RNAcentral. Lineage: Eukaryota; Viridiplantae; Streptophyta; Magnoliopsida; Malpighiales; Euphorbiaceae.